GCCUCUGUAGCUCAGUGGACUAGAGCAAGAGCCUUCUAAUCUCUAGGUCACAGGUUCGAAUCCUGUCAGGGGCGC
Molecule: transfer RNA, 75 nt
Filed under: Arthrobacter phage Atuin
Lineage: Duplodnaviria; Heunggongvirae; Uroviricota; Caudoviricetes
Description: tRNA-Arg
Rfam family: tRNA
About the family: Transfer RNA (tRNA) molecules are approximately 80 nucleotides in length. Their secondary structure includes four short double-helical elements and three loops (D, anti-codon, and T loops). Further hydrogen bonds mediate the characteristic L-shaped molecular structure. tRNAs have two regions of fundamental functional importance: the anti-codon, which is responsible for specific mRNA codon recognition, and the 3' end, to which the tRNAs corresponding amino acid is attached (by aminoacyl-tRNA synthetases). tRNAs cope with the degeneracy of the genetic code in two manners: having more than one tRNA (with a specific anti-codon) for a particular amino acid; and 'wobble' base-pairing, i.e. permitting non-standard base-pairing at the 3rd anti-codon position.
Source: RNAcentral